This 292-nucleotide ribosomal RNA is filed under the name uncultured Bacteroidota bacterium. Its description in RNAcentral is "uncultured Bacteroidetes bacterium partial 16S ribosomal RNA". Lineage: Bacteria; Pseudomonadati; Bacteroidota. The record is from RNAcentral.
GGACUACCGGGGUUUCUAAUCCUGUUUGAUCCCCACGCUUUCGUGCCUCAGCGUCAAUCGUUGCUUAGCCGGCUGCCUUCGCAAUCGGUGUUCUAUGUCAUAUCUAUGCAUUUCACCGCUACAUGACAUAUUCCGCCAACCUCAACAACAUUCAAGACUAAUAGUAUCAUUGGCAGUUUCCAGGUUGAGCCCGGAGAUUUCACCACUGACUUAAUAGCCCGCCUACACACCCUUUAAACCCAGUGAAUCCGGAUAACGCUUGCACCCUCCGUAUUACCGCGGCUGCUGGCAC